RNAcentral lists this long non-coding RNA (1548 nucleotides) under Ananas comosus (pineapple). RNAcentral's name for it is "long non-coding RNA (ACOM_LNC039528)". Lineage: Eukaryota; Viridiplantae; Streptophyta; Magnoliopsida; Poales; Bromeliaceae. The record is from RNAcentral.
AGCUUGGUGGAGCAGAUUUUGGAGGAGGAUUUCUUGCUAUUCGAGUUGAAAGGAAGGCUUGUGGAGCUGAGAAAACCCUUGGGGAAACUUCAAAUCCAGGUAAGCUUGAUAUCUUUUCCUGGAUUGAGUAUUAUUGAUUGCUUAAAGAUGGUAGUAGUAUGUAGAAAACCUUGAGUAUAUGCUGAAAACAGCAUGCAUACAUGUAUAAAUAUGUAUGUGUAUAUGUACCCAGGUUACUAGGGAUGAAAUCUGGAGUGGAUUAGCUCUAAUUUCUGAGCAAAGUGAUGCUAUUUGCUUUAUAAGAGGUUAAACUAGAGAUAGCUUAACUUCUAAAGCUUUAGAAGCUUAGAGAAGCUUUAUUGGCAGCAUGUUUGCAGUUAUUGAUGAGUUGUUAAGAUAAAAACCUAGGAUAAGAUGGUUAAAUACCCUGGUUUGAAGGUUAUGUAGCUACCUUCUAAUGAGAUUUGAACUAUAAAUUAUCUAUUGGAACUUCUAACUGUCAUAGGAAACUUGAAAACUGCAUUAUGCACUUGAAAAACUGCAUUAUGAAUUAGUAGUUCGAAUGAAACCGGGGGGGAUUGAUGAUAUUCCCUGGUUUGAAUAAUGUGCUCUGCUGUAAAGAAGUGUGCACAAUGAAUUUCUUAAGUGCUGAAACUCUAAGUGCUGUGAACUUUAUAGAACUAGCUCUAUGUUGUGUAUGUAUGUAUGUAUAUACAUAUGAAUGAUUAUUAGGGAUGAAACCUGGGCUAAAGUAGCUUUAAUAUUUGAAUUAGAAUGACUUUAAUCCCUAUUUAAAGAGGUUGAAUUAUGAGUGAGUUAACUUCUAAAGGGAUGCAGCCAAAGCUGAAUCCUAUAAAUUAGCUUUAUGUUAUAUGUAGAUAUAUAUAUACACAUAUGAAGGAUGGUUGGGAUGAAAAUCUAAAAUAGAUCAAUCCUAAACCUGGUUUGAGAGAUGUUCUUUGCUGUAAAGAAGUAGUGAACAGGGGUUUUUUAAGAUGCUAAAGCUUCCAAGUGCUAUGAAUCAUAUAGAACUAGCAUUAUGUAUAUAUAUGUAUGUGUGUGUGUAUAUAUAUAUAUAUAUAUAUAUAUAUAUAUAUAUAUAUAUAUAUAUAUAUAUAUAUAUAUAUACUUAUGAUUAGUGUUGGGGGAUAAAGUCUGAGAUAAGAUCACACUAAACCCUGGUUGAAGCUGAUGUCUACUUGUCCCUAAUGAGAAUUAGUAAUAUGUUCUUAGUUGCUAAAGUGUAGAGCUAGCAGGAAACUUAAUAGAAAGACUAUGUAUAUGUAUAUGUUGAUAUUAUAUACAUAUAUGCAAGUUGGAGUCGAAAUGCAAACUUCGUAAAAAUGCGAAUAUGACUUCAGUUUAAGCUGUUUUAUUCCUCAUUGGAGGCAGGUUUGAUGUGCUCGGAAGCUCAAAUUGACAUUCCGACGGACCUACGACGCGCUAAUUAAGAAACGCUUCGUUCUAGUUUCGUUGGCGUCGAGUCGCGAGGGCUAGGUGUUUAUACAUUCUGAGACGUUGGUUCUAACAAUUCGGCAUCCCUACGAG